AUUCCCAAAUCUGCCUCCAAAGGGGCGAAACAUGUGUUUCUGUGCUCAAGCCAUUAAGAGAUACAAACCCUAGGGCAUGCAAGUCCUUAAAUAGAUCAAAAAUUGGCCUAUAAGACUAAGUCGUUGGUGCUCAGCGCCCCUACUUAGGGCAAGGAUGCGCCCAUGCGAGAGAAGUGGCGGUCAGGCCCCCUUAGAGGGCAAACAGGUGUGGUGCGGGUCCUUCUACUGGCGCUAAGCACCACUGGAGUGGCGAUCAUGGCCCCUGGACCAGGGCCCUCAGCCUGACUAGCUGACUCUUAGGGCCCUUGAUCUAGGGCACUCAACCUUAUUUUUCUGCACUGCAUCGUUUUCUCUUUUUCUGUAGAUCUGCCUUCUUCUUGAAUUCCAACUCCUUGAUCCUUUU
RNAcentral lists this long non-coding RNA (403 nucleotides) under Vigna radiata. RNAcentral's name for it is "long non-coding RNA (VRAD_LNC008081)". Lineage: Eukaryota; Viridiplantae; Streptophyta; Magnoliopsida; Fabales; Fabaceae. The record is from RNAcentral.